This 2698-nucleotide unclassified non-coding RNA is filed under the name Hevea brasiliensis (rubber tree). The record is from RNAcentral. Lineage: Eukaryota; Viridiplantae; Streptophyta; Magnoliopsida; Malpighiales; Euphorbiaceae.
AAGAAAAAAGAAAAAAAAGAAAAAACCUAUGAUGUUUUAAAUUUUGGAGGCUGGGGACCACUCUUGAGCGGCUACCCAGAAAAGCAAAGGAAAGCAAACAGAAAGGCUAAUUCAGUAUCGAGUAUCAGAUGUACACUGGCAUUCCCAAAAUUGUUUUUACUGCCUUUCCAACACCAUGUAAACUUUUUUUGCUUGUUUUCAAAGUUGGCAAUUUUAUAAACAAAAGGCAAUACAAGUCUGUCAAGGCAAUGCAUUCACCCUCCAGAUGUCUACAGACCCAGGCAAACACAAUUGAAGAUGCCUGUUAAGCAAAGAAAGAUUAAUUGGAGACUAAUCCUCAGGGGCAAGAACAGUAUUAAUUUCAAAUUUCUAUUGAGAAAUCAUCUGGUACAGUAAGAAUGACACAGAUGGACCAAUUCAUGGUCCAAGGCCUGACCUGGAUUAAGCACAAAUUAUUUUGGAAAGCUGCGGAUUUAUGUUAUAGGCCUGGCCUGGAGAUGUAACAAAUAUUAUAAUUUAUUUUUAUAUAAUAUUAAAAGUAUCAAGAUUCACUCACCCUCUAAUUGCUAGCACUAAGCUAGCAAGCACUUUUCAAUCACUUUUCUUUCUAUAUAGUAAACCUCAUAAGCCUAGACUUCCCAGCAUAAAUAUUGCUUUUUUGUUUGAGUGUGCCACCUCCCCUCCCUUCACAUUUCUCUCUCACUGCAUCUCUCUAUCUCACUGAGUCAACCUUAGAAAAGCAAACCUGGAUGUUCUACCAAGACAUUAUGUAAGAUUAUGCACUUACAAUAGGAUCCAUCGUAUUUGUUUUUUUCUUUGUAAUUUUCUUCCUGAUUUUUCUACAAUGAUGGGUCUUUGAUUGAACUAUUUUUUACACUCAAAGUUCAUCUUUUGUUCUUUGACAUGUUGGAAACAGGAAGCAUGUUAACCCAUCUGGGUGCUCUUCAUAUUUGGAUACUUCAAGAGUCCCAACAGCUCCUGAAGUGGCCUGUGUUGGAUGUCGAAGGUGAAAUUCGCUACAAUCCCAGGCUGGGUCACAUUGGGCCCAGGCUCUCAUAAAAGGAACAGGCUCAGCCCUAGGCCUAGACAACUAGUUAGGCCUAAAUUAACAGGUCAGCCUCAGGCUUAGAUCAAUAAAAUUUUUUGCCUGGACUGAGCCAGCCCAACCCAUGAGUUAUCCAGGUCUAGACACAUAAUGCAGCUAGUGAUUCAGUAAAGCAAAUACAAUUGCUGAAUGAAUCAAUCACAGUUAAUCGAAAAGAACAGCGUGUAAGUCUCAAUGUUCAUAACACGUACUUCAUUGCAACAUGAAGAUUAUUCUUAUCUACAAAAAUGAAAGAAAAAAAUGAUGAAAAUUUAUACCUCAGCUGAGACAGAAGAUGAGGCUUGUUGCAUUGAAGAGCCACCACUGUCCAAAAUAGCCAGCUUGGCGUCAAGUUAUCAAUACCCACAAAGGAUGUUAAAUUUUUUUAAAAUAGCAAAAAAAUAAAUAUUCUGCAAGUUUCAUGAAACAACUACAGGUUUCUGUAUUUUCAUACUGCUUUCGCAUUCUUAAAUAAGCUUUAAAAUUUAACAUUCAAGGGAAAACUCCAGAUGUUCCAUUCAGACUGACUUUCCCUUAUUGCUCAGAUUAAAAUUGUAAAGGUCGCUGACCCCAACUCAUGACUGUUAACAAUUUUCAAAUGUCAUAUACACACAAUAUAUUUGAUACAACAUAGUUUUCCUAGCCAUGGCCACAGCAUACCUACAUAAACAACCAAGAGGCAAAAUGCAUAUCCAACCCCUUUCGCCUUUUCUAUAAUGACAUCUAAUUUGGUUCUUCCUUGUUCUUUGCAACCAUCAAUAACAUUAUCACAGAAACAGUACAAGAAACAAAAUUAGUAAUCUAUUUUUUUCCAUAUGAGAUUUGUCUGAUGAUAGUAACAUAAAGGAAUAGUUGAAACUAGCCACAGCAGUGAUGAAUUUAGAAGCGUAAAAAAAAAAUUCCCAAGUACCAGAGAAUUUAAGGUUUGUUCAUAGUUUACUUCGAAAAUGAAGAAAUCCAGGUGAAAAAAUGUGAAAUUUGCCAAUACUUAGUCAUACAAAGGAAACGAUGCACAAGGAACCAAUUACACAAAGGACACCAAUUCCAAAAAGGACGCAAGGUGGACUCAAAGUUUCCAUUAACACCAGCAAACAAAGAAGCAGGAUUGAAGCACACACAAUAUCAAAUGAAACCUAAAAACUUACCUUGGAAGAGCAGUGACCUUGUACUUGUGAACUGGAAGAGCAUUUAUUUCUUCCUCGCUCAUGGAUGCAGUGGUGGGAACAUUAUCAGAAUCCAAUGCUCUCAAAGUCUCAUAAUCUGCAGAUAAACAAGUUUACACGAGUAAUCCUUUCUAACAAAUUCCAAAUGAAUAACAUGCCAUAAAAGGACAUAAAAUGAAAACUAAACAUCAUGUAGCAAUUGACAAUCAUAUCUCACUAUCACUCAUUGAAACUAAAGAUUGGCACUUUGAAACACAUUAUAUCCCUGAAUACAGCACCUAGGUCAUCAAAUUCCCGGUCCAGAAGUGCAAGUUGGAGUCUGAGGCCUUGUAAACGUCCCCUGGUUGCAAGUGCUAUGGAUGGUGGCAUAUGCAAACGUAACUCAGUAUGACUAAGAAGACCACUGGCCAUGGCAGCAUGGGCUUGAGCCUGAGCUUGAAGUUGUUGACAA